ACGGAGUAGCAGGACAACGGUAG
This 23-nucleotide unclassified non-coding RNA is filed under the name Mus musculus (house mouse). Its description in RNAcentral is "oocyte_clustered_small_RNA3703". Lineage: Eukaryota; Metazoa; Chordata; Mammalia; Rodentia; Muridae. The record is from RNAcentral.